Molecule: unclassified non-coding RNA, 399 nt
Filed under: Hevea brasiliensis (rubber tree)
Lineage: Eukaryota; Viridiplantae; Streptophyta; Magnoliopsida; Malpighiales; Euphorbiaceae
Source: RNAcentral
GCAAAGACAAGGUAAGAAGUAGGGGAACCUCCCGAAAAAGGAUGCUCGGGAAAAUAAGUCGGGAAAUUUGUCUGCAGGCUGCGCCAAAAAGCCCCCGAUGGCUGGACCUAUAAUCAAACCAAUGCCCCAUGCAGUGCUCACAAUUGAUAAUGCUAGAGCUUGAUGUUCUACGUGACAAACUUCAAUAGCAUAAGCCCUUAUUGGUCCAAGCAAACCAUUUAACGCUCCAAGAAGAAACCUUGUAGCAAUUGCCAUCCAGUAACUUGUACUCAAUCCGAACAAUGUGUUGAAUAUAAUCACGGAAACAAUUCCAAUCAUUACGACAGGCUUCCUUCCAUAUCGGUCGGCCACCAUCCCCCAAAGUACAGAAGUUAGAGCUCUACCAAGCAUAAGAGAAGA